This 1335-nucleotide long non-coding RNA is filed under the name Salmo salar (Atlantic salmon). RNAcentral describes it as "lncRNA (ENSSSAG00000083724.1, ENSSSAG00020070983.1)". The record is from RNAcentral. Lineage: Eukaryota; Metazoa; Chordata; Actinopteri; Salmoniformes; Salmonidae.
UAAGAGAUGACGUUAUUAUGAAAACAUUGUACCUUUAAGAGUUUUCCCAGUAUAUGCCUGAUGUGUAUACAUUGUACGUUGUGUGGAAAAUAUCCAAAUCAAAGAGAAUGUUUUGGUAAAGAUGAGAUGUGAAGGUAGUGUCUAAAAUAGGAUUUUAGUCAAAUCUAGGCCUUGCUCCUUAACUUGGUCCGCCCAGAGAAUUGCCCUAAAGGCGGUUACACCCACUUCUGACCCGAGGGUAUAAGACAGGAGAGUGAAGAAUUAACAUAGGAGACUAAUUGACCCCAAGCUGCAGCGAAGGUCUAACAAAGUCAACGAACCCCAAAACGAAACACAAGGUUGAAGACAAAGAAAUCAUUUUCUACACGAGCUACGGACGAGUAGCUGUGUCUAAGCGGGUGAAUUCAAGCCGAACCACCCAGCCUCCACUCUCCAUUGAAUCGUGGUAUCUACACCGUUCGAGUCCGAAGCUGUGAGCUCUGAGCUACAGAGCUGUCUGUCCUCAGAAGACCCCUUUCAGAUCAAGGGCGAGGGAUCAGACCCCUAAGCCAAGAAGGACACUGACAUCGUGAGGACAACCAGAGAGUUGCGCCGGAGAAGUGCGUCAUUGAGAAGCCUAAACGACACACGCGGAGCUUCCCACCUGAGACCUCCAACACCCAAUGUAUCUACUCAAGUGAAAGGAACCAAGCCUGACAUUGAAGGGCUCCACAUGGAGGUACAGUAUUGUAAAUGAUAUGUCUCGAGAAUCAAACUGAAUUGCUGAACUACAUAACAUUUGUUCUGGUUGUUAUCGUUAUUAUCCUGAUAGUAACAAAUAUUCUCCUGACAAUCUUGCGGAGGAGAGCUCUGCAAGAAUGUAAGUAGUGUGCUAAAGUUUAUCUUUAAAAAGAAAUGUAUUUAACCUUUAUUUAACCAGAAAGAGUAAAUUGAGAUUUGAAAUCUCUUAUUUUCAAGAGCGUCUUGGCCAAGAUAGGCAGCACAGUCAUUACACAAUUACAGAUAGACAACAUGAAAAACUACAAGUAAUCUAGUAAAAACCAUAGAAUUCACAAGAGUAUAAAAAAAUCAUAAAACAGCAAAUUAAAAACAUUGACAGGUCAGGGAAUCAGUCUCAAAAUCCUUCAUCAGUGAUUUAAAAACACCAAUCGGGACAAGUUCUUCCAGUUUAAAAGUAUUUUGUAAGGCGUUCCAAGACAAUGGCGCAGAGUACAUAAAAGCCCUUUUACCAAAUUCAGUUCGGACAUUUGGAACAGUUAGCAGGAUAAAGUCCUGCGAACGAAGAGAGUAUCCACCACAUUUCUGAACAAUAAAAAUGCACCAAUAAAAUGGUAG